Molecule: RNA transcript, 1791 nt
Organism: Nicotiana tabacum (common tobacco)
Lineage: Eukaryota; Viridiplantae; Streptophyta; Magnoliopsida; Solanales; Solanaceae
Source: RefSeq, a predicted model, not a curated record
ACGAUUUAUACACCCUAAGGAACCCUGAAAAAUCAAAUUCUUCUUUUUCUUCAUCUAAUCAGAAAUGGACUACGGCAAAGAAGGCAUGGAGGAUUUCAGAGUUAUCAUAAGUAUUGGUGCUGAUCGUUAAUACACUGGUCCAAGAGUUAUGACGACUGUUGGGGACCAAUAUGUGUUGCGUAAGUGGUCUUCUUUUUGCUUCUUCUUUUUCUCUUUUUGAUAUGAAGUAAAUUUGGCAGUGCCUCCAUUUUUAAAUUGUUUAUAUCACUGCCUAUAAUUCCUUUUCAUAAAUAGAUUUUAGAACCAUGUAAUUCGUCUAUCUUUUUGUCCAGUAUUGGGAAAGGAUAAUUUUCUUUAUGAUUUAUUGCAUUUGAGUCCCCUGCUAUAACAGGACUGAUAGAUUUUAUCCUUCUUUUUUUACUUUCAAGGCUGGUGAAUGGUUGUUUUGUGUAAUGUAAUUAUUUAGAAUAUGUUGUCUUUGUUUCUCCUUGUAUCAGCGUUUUGCUCUGCUUUUGUUGUUUGUGCACAUCUUAGUGUCAAGUUGGCUUUAGAGUAUCCAACAGAUAAUCAAAGACGUCUUAAUAAAACUCGUGAACUAAAGCCAAAUUUUAACAUGGGGCCUUGAUUUUUUUUAUCUAUAGUAUAGUUAUCUUGCAAAAAUAAUAUUAAUAUUACCUUGGUUCCUUUUUUUUGUAUAUAGUGUAGUUAUCUUAUAAAAUAUAAUAUUAAUAUGCCCAUUGGUAAGAAAAUUCAAGUUAAUAAGAUGUUAGCCACGUAUUUACAUUUGGUUAUCUUGGAUCUUAUUGUAAAAAAAUAUUAUUUACAAUAUGAAGAUUUGAGUAUCUUAAUUCAAAGUUCUAAAAUAUUUCUAUUGUUAAAAAUAGAUAGUCUUUCUUUUUAUUUUUAUAAGGAUUUAGUAUUAUUUUUUUCUAUAAACUUCAAUAUUAUCUAAGCGAUAUAGUAAAUCCACAACUAAAAAUAUUUUCGGGGCCCCAAAAUUUAGGGGGCUUUAGCCUCCCCCUUGAGUCACCCCUGCAGAUAAUGAUGCUAUUGACUUCUCAAAGUCUGAACUGGUGGAGUGUGUUUCGAGGGCAAAUUCUACCCUCCUGCUUAAACAUGCUUAUCCUUACAUUAUGGAUAAGGGAUUGCAUAGGGAGACUGAGUAUCCCUAUUUUGGCCAUUACAUACGACCAUGCAUGUGUCCUUUGAAUAAGGCUUCCCGAAAAUUGGAAUUUCGGAUUGGGAGUAUCUAGAGGAGUAUGAAGUGACUGAUGCUUUGGAUCUUGAGCCUGUUACUACUUCAAUUGAUGUUUAUCCAUCCUUGCUUACCCAUCACAGAAUGGCUGUUUGGUACCCUAGGCCAGUUGAGCUCCCCAUUUUGGUUCCGGGUUCAGACAAAAUUCAACGCCAUGCCCUUCUCCUUACGGGGUAUGGUGUAGACACAUUUGUCAUUCCCUUUUACAUUGGGAAGGGCGCUUGGACAGUUGAUUCUUGGAUGAACGGGUACAUUCGAGUUUGUCGUGACUUCGUGAAAUUUGCUGCGAAGAUUAGGGGUCAGGUAUUUUGGAGGGUUUAAAGAUGGAAUUAGAGAAUUUUUAUAAGUGAAUUUUGUUAUGUAAACAUUUAGGCCCAAAUGUUGAAAUUGAUGUCCCCUUAGUAUUAGAAGCAAGUGAUACAAAGACAACUUAGUACAUACAAAGUCAACUUAAUAUUUGUAAAAAGUUUAAAGUCCAUCAUACAAUUUUUCCACUGUUAUACUCAAAGGAAAUAUCUACCAACCUUUAAAUUGUG